GACGUAGGGUGCAAGCGUUAAUCGGAAUUACUGGGCGUAAAGCGUGCGCAGGCGGUUGUGUAAGACAGGCGUGAAAUCCCCGGGCUCAACCUGGGAAUGGCGCUUGUGACUGCACAGCUCGAGUGCGGCAGAGGGGGAUGGAAUUCCGCGUGUAGCAGUGAAAUGCGUAGAUAUGCGGAGGAACACCAAUGGCGAAGGCAAUCCCCUGGGCCUGCACUGACGCUCAUGCACGAACGCGUGGGGAGCAAACAGG
This 253-nucleotide ribosomal RNA is filed under the name uncultured Macromonas sp. RNAcentral's name for it is "partial 16S ribosomal RNA". It matches the Rfam family "Bacterial small subunit ribosomal RNA", at positions 524 to 776 of the family's 1533-position model. Lineage: Bacteria; Pseudomonadati; Pseudomonadota; Betaproteobacteria; Burkholderiales; Comamonadaceae. The record is from RNAcentral.